This 351-nucleotide ribosomal RNA is filed under the name Triticum aestivum (bread wheat). RNAcentral describes it as "partial small subunit ribosomal RNA". Lineage: Eukaryota; Viridiplantae; Streptophyta; Magnoliopsida; Poales; Poaceae. The record is from RNAcentral.
AUGGUCCUAUCGGUGUGGAAGGUGUGGGCUCCCCUGCGGUGCAAAUUUUUCGCAUGGCUUGUACUUCAAGAUAGAAUCUGGACAUCGGGCCGCCUUGCUCGACGUGGGUGGCCCAACUGCGGGCUAUGCCCGCUUUGCAAGCAAAGCCCUGAGACGGCAGUCCACUUACUGUUCCAAUGUCGCUACACCCUUCGUGUGUGGAACGAUAUUCUUCGCUGGCUUGGCAUGGAUCACACUCAGCCUACUACUUGGUCAGCGAGGGGCUCGGUGUGGGAAUGGUGGAAUGGAAACGUAUAUCUUCGUUCUGAAUCCCCCAAGACGCUCGCCUCACUAAUGAUGCUUAUCUUCUAG